This 451-nucleotide ribosomal RNA is filed under the name uncultured bacterium. Its description in RNAcentral is "partial 16S ribosomal RNA". It matches the Rfam family "Bacterial small subunit ribosomal RNA", at positions 354 to 796 of the family's 1533-position model. The record is from RNAcentral.
GUGGGGAAUAUUGGACAAUGGGGGGAACCCUGAUCCAGCCAUGCCGCGUGUGUGAAGAAGGCCUUUUGGUUGUAAAGCACUUUAAGUGGGGAGGAGGCUUACCUGGUUAAUACCUGGGCUAAGUGGACGUUACCCACAGAAUAAGCACCGGCUAACUCUGUGCCAGCAGCCGCGGUAAUACAGAGGGUGCGAGCGUUAAUCGGAUUUACUGGGCGUACAGCGCGCGUAGGUGGUUAAUUAAGUCAAAUGUGAAAUCCCCGAACUUAACUUGGAAAUUGCAUUCGAUACUGGUUAGCUAGAGUAUGGGAGAGGAUGGUAGAAUUCCAGGUGUAGCGGUGAAAUGCGUAGAGAUCUGGAGGAAUACCGAUGGCGAAGGCAGCCAUCUGGCCUAAUACUGACACUGAGGUGCGAAAGCAUGGGGAGCAAACAGGAUUAGAUACCCGAGUAGUCC